This 253-nucleotide ribosomal RNA is filed under the name uncultured bacterium. RNAcentral's name for it is "partial 16S ribosomal RNA". It matches the Rfam family "Bacterial small subunit ribosomal RNA", at positions 524 to 776 of the family's 1533-position model. The record is from RNAcentral.
GACGUAGGAGGCGAGCGUUGUCCGGAUUCAUUGGGCGUAAAGAGCGCGCAGGCGGCUUGGUAAGUCGGAUGUGAAAUCCCGAGGCUCAACCUCGGGUCUGCAUCCGAUACUGCCCGGCUAGAGGUAGGUAGGGGAGAUCGGAAUUCCUGGUGUAGCGGUGAAAUGCGCAGAUAUCUGGAGGAACACCGGUGGCGAAGGCGGCAUCCUGGUCCGGCAUUGACGCUGAGGCGCGAAAGCUAGGGGAGCAAACGGG